Molecule: ribosomal RNA, 321 nt
Filed under: uncultured eukaryote
Lineage: Eukaryota
Description: partial 18S ribosomal RNA
Rfam family: Eukaryotic small subunit ribosomal RNA
Source: RNAcentral
CCCUUAGAUGUCCUGGGCCGCACGCGCGCUACACUGACAUGUUCAACAAGCCUCCUAGUUCGACGGGAUUUGGGAAAUCUUUGAACGCAUGUCGUGAUAGGGAUAGAUCAUUGCAAUUAUUGAUCUUGGACGAGGAAUUCCUAGUAAACGCGAGUCAUCAGCUCGCAUUGAUUACGUCCCUGCCCUUUGUACACACCGUCCGUCGCACCUACCGAUUGAAUGUUUCGGUGAAGAUUCCGGAUAGGACUUUUUUGAUUUAUUUCAAUUCUGUCUUAAAAGCUAUCUAAACCUCAACAUUUAGAGGAAGGUGAAGUCGUAACA